AACGAACGCUGGCGGCAUGCCUAACACAUGCAAGUCGAACGAGAUCUUCGGGUCUAGUGGCGCACGGGUGCGUAACGCGUGGGGAUCUGCCCUUUGGUUCAGAAUAACAGUUGGAAACGACUGCUAAUACCGGAUGAUGACGAAAGUCCAAAGAUUUAUCGCCAGAGGAUGAGCCCGCGUAGGAUUAGCUAGUUGGUGUGGUAAAGGCGCACCAAGGCGACGAUCCUUAGCUGGUCUGAGAGGAUGAUCAGCCACACUGGGACUGAGACACGGCCCAGACUCCUACGGGAGGCAGCAGUGGGGAAUAUUGGACAAUGGGCGAAAGCCUGAUCCAGCAAUGCCGCGUGAGUGAUGAAGGCCUUAGGGUUGUAAAGCUCUUUUACCCGGGAUGAUAAUGACAGUACCGGGAGAAUAAGCUCCGGCUAACUCCGUGCCAGCCGCCGCAGUAA
Molecule: ribosomal RNA, 449 nt
Filed under: uncultured bacterium
Lineage: Bacteria
Description: partial 16S ribosomal RNA
Rfam family: Bacterial small subunit ribosomal RNA
Source: RNAcentral